UUUGGAAUUAUUUGUGUUUAAUGACAUUUUCUGUUUUUCUCUUUUCAGUAAUACUGAACUUUGGCUUUUUAUGUUUCCUUGCUUUUUUACGCUUUUUGUUUUUUUUUUUUUCAUUUUUCAUACAUAAUUUUAUGCAAUACCCAGCAUAAUUUUCAAUUUUGAUUGUUAAAUUUUGAUGUAACCCAUUUCUGCAUACAUUGU
Molecule: long non-coding RNA, 201 nt
Filed under: Mytilus galloprovincialis (Mediterranean mussel)
Lineage: Eukaryota; Metazoa; Mollusca; Bivalvia; Mytilida; Mytilidae
Source: RNAcentral